AUUCCAGCUCCAAUAGCGUAUAUUAAAGUUGUUGCAGUUAAAAAGCUCGUAGUUGAAUUUCUGUACAGUCCCAGUUCUGGCUUCGGUCUAGCUGUGGAUUGUGCAUCCGCUUGCAAAUCUAGCUCGGCCUUCACUGGUCGACUAGGGGAGUAAGCCCUUUACUUUGAAAAAAUUAGAGUGUUUCAGGCAGGCAAUGGCUCGAAUACAUUAGCAUGGAAUAAUGGAAUAGGACUUUUGUCCAUUUGGUUGGUUAUUGGACAUGAGUAAUGAUUAAAAGGGACAGUUGGGGGCAUUAGUAUUUAAUAGUCAGAGGUGAAAUUCUUGGAUUUAUUAAAGACUAACUUAUGCGAAAGCAUUUGCCAAGGAUGUUUUCAUCA
This 377-nucleotide ribosomal RNA is filed under the name Parauronema sp. RNAcentral describes it as "partial small subunit ribosomal RNA". It matches the Rfam family "Eukaryotic small subunit ribosomal RNA", at positions 582 to 975 of the family's 1831-position model. Lineage: Eukaryota; Ciliophora; Oligohymenophorea; Philasterida; Philasteridae. The record is from RNAcentral.